Molecule: long non-coding RNA, 856 nt
Filed under: Equus caballus (horse)
Lineage: Eukaryota; Metazoa; Chordata; Mammalia; Perissodactyla; Equidae
Description: lncRNA (ENSECAG00000046177.1)
Source: RNAcentral
CCCCACGCCCCUCCCCACGCCCACCACGCUCUGCGCUCCUUCACGGCCCUCCCCGUCCUCCUUCAUGACCCUCCUCUUCCUCCUGGCGUCCUCCACACUCUGACCCUGCAGCCAUGCUGCCGGGCUAAAGCGGGUUUAAUUAAUGGCGCCUGAGGCCGGCUCCUGAGGGCUCCUGAGGCAGCUUGAAACCCAGCAAAAGCUCCCUGGCUGAUAAAAGUUCAGUGGCUAAACUGGAAAUACUGGGACCCGGGUAGGUAGAACUUGCAUUUUCAAAGCCACCUUUCCUCCAUCCCCUCCAUCUGGUCGGGCUGCUGGAACCCUCACAGUGGAGAACUCCCGGCUGAGGGGUCUACACUUUGGUCAUGCCUCAUAGAAGAACAGCCCCAGCCAUAGUAUUAACAGGAGGAAACAUCACAGCAGACAGCUCUAAUUCCUGGACUAUAGACAGGAAACGCAGAAGCCCGGUGGGAUGACUACCGCAGCAUGGCUUUUGCAGAUCGGUGCCAUGUCCACACCCGGGUUCCAAACCAGUGAACCCCAGGCUGCCAAGAAGCGGAACAUGUGAACUUAACCACUGCACCACCCAGCGGGCCCCCCUAACCACUUUCUCUGUGCUUUAUUUUCACUCCUGCCUUGACCGGUGCUGUCCAAUAGUAGCAUUAACACUCUAUAACAUGAAAUCAAAACUUUCUAGUGGCACGUUUAAGAAAAUAAAAACAAACAGCUGAACCUAAUUUUAAUAGUAUAUUUUAACCCAUUAUAACCAUGGUAUUAUUCGUGAUGCAAUCUAUAUAAAAAUUAAUAAUGAGAGAGUUUACAUUCUGGGGGUUUUUAUUGGUUCCACAAAUCCAGUUUG